RNAcentral lists this ribosomal RNA (495 nucleotides) under uncultured bacterium. RNAcentral's name for it is "bacterial SSU rRNA". It matches the Rfam family "Bacterial small subunit ribosomal RNA", at positions 28 to 507 of the family's 1533-position model. The record is from RNAcentral.
GAUGAACGCUAGCUACAGGCUUAACACAUGCAAGUCGAGGGGAAACGACAUCGAAAGCUUGCUUUUGAUGGGCGUCGACCGGCGCACGGGUGAGUAACGCGUAUCCAACCUGCCCACCACUUGGGGAUAACCUUGCGAAAGUAAGACUAAUACCCGAUGAUAUCACUAGACGACAUCUGAAAGGGAUUAAAGAUUUAUCGGUGAUGGAUGGGGAUGCGUCUGAUUAGCUUGUUGGCGGGGUAACGGCCCACCAAGGCGACGAUCAGUAGGGGUUCUGAGAGGAAGGUCCCCCACAUUGGAACUGAGACACGGUCCAAAACUCCUACGGGAGGCAGCAGUGAGGAAUAUUGGGUCAAUGGGCGAGAGCCCUGAACCAGCCAAGUAGCGUGCAGGACGACGGCCCUAUGGGUUGUAAACUGCUUUUAUAAGGGAAUAAAGUGAGUCUCGUGAGACUUUUUGCAUGUACCUUAUGAAUAAGGACCGGCUAAUUCCGUG